GACGAACGCUGGCGGCAUGCCUAACACAUGCAAGUCGAACGAGACCUUCGGGUCUAGUGGCGCACGGGUGCGUAAGGCGUGGGAACCUGCCCUUGGGUUCGGAAUAACUCCCCGAAAGGGGUGCUAAUACCGGAUCAUGUCUUCGGACCAAGGAUUUCUUGCCUUUGGAUGGGUCCGCGUUGGAUUAGCUCGUUGGUAGGGUAAAAGCCUACCAAGGCGACGAUCCAUAGCUGGUCUGAGAGGAUGAUCAGCCACUCUGGGACUAAGACACGGCCCAGACUCCUACGCGAGGGAGCAGUGGGUGAUAGUGGACAAUGGGGGAAAUCCUGAUCCAGCAAUGCCGGGUGAGUGAUGAAGGCCUUAGGGUUCUAAAGCGCUUUUACCCGUGAUGAUAAUGACAGUACCGGGUGAAUAAGCUCCGGCUAACUCCGUG
This 433-nucleotide ribosomal RNA is filed under the name uncultured bacterium. Its description in RNAcentral is "partial 16S ribosomal RNA". It matches the Rfam family "Bacterial small subunit ribosomal RNA", at positions 28 to 507 of the family's 1533-position model. The record is from RNAcentral.